Molecule: ribosomal RNA, 492 nt
Filed under: uncultured bacterium
Lineage: Bacteria
Description: partial 16S ribosomal RNA
Rfam family: Bacterial small subunit ribosomal RNA
Source: RNAcentral
AGUGAACGCUGGCGGUAGGCCUAACACAUGCCAGUCGAACGGCAGCGCAGUAAGAGCUUGCUCUUACGGGUGGCGAGUGGCGGACGGGUGAGGAAUACAUCGGAAUCUACUUUUUCGUGGGGGAUAACGUAGGGAAACUUACGCUAAUACCGCAUACGACCUACGGGUGAAAGCAGGGGAUCUUCGGACCUUGCGCGAUUGAAUGAGCCGAUGUCGGAUUAGCUAGUUGGCGGGGUAAAGGCCCACCAAGGCGACGAUCCGUAGCUGGUCUGAGAGGAGGAUCAGCCACACUGGAACUGAGACACGGUCCAGACUCCUACGGGAGGCAGCAGUGGGGAAUAUUGGACAAUGGGCGCAAGCCUGAUCCAGCCAUACCGCGUGGGUGAAGAAGGCCUUCGGGUUGUAAAGCCCUUUUGUUGGGAAAGAAAAGCAGCAGGUUAAUACCCCGCUGUUCUGACGGUACCCAAAGAAUAAGCACCGGCUAACUUCGUG